Molecule: ribosomal RNA, 700 nt
Filed under: uncultured Acidobacteriota bacterium
Lineage: Bacteria; Pseudomonadati; Acidobacteriota
Description: bacterial SSU rRNA
Rfam family: Bacterial small subunit ribosomal RNA
Source: RNAcentral
AGUCGAGUGCGCGGUUGUAGCAAUACAACUGGCGCACGGCGCACGGGUGCGUAACACGUGGGCAAUCUGCCCUUCGAUGGGGAAUAACUCCGGGAAACCGAAGCUAAUUCCGCAUAACAUUCCUUGGACUUCGGUUCGAGGAUUCAAAGCCGUAAGGCGUCGAAGGAGGAGCCCGCGCACGAUUAGCUAGUUGGUAGGGUGACGGCCUACCAAGGCUUUGAUCGUUAGCUGGUCUGAGAGGAUGGCCAGCCACACUGGAACUGAGACACGGUCCAGACUCCUACGGGAGGCAGCAGUGGGGAAUCUUGCACAAUGGGCGAAAGCCUGAUGCAGCGACGCCGCGUGGGGGAUGAAGCAUCUCGGUGUGUAAACCCCUUUCGACCCGGACGAAUGCCUCGCAAGAGGAGUGACGGUACGGGUAUAAGAAGCCCCGGCUAACUACGUGCCAGCAGCCGCGGUAAGACGUAGGGGGCCAGCGUUGUUCGGAAUUACUGGGUGUAAAGGGUUCGUAGGCGGUGUGGCAAGUUGGGAGUGAAAUCUCUGGGCUCAACCCAGAGGCUGCUUCCAAAACUGCCAUGCUUGAGUGUGGGAGAGGCGCGUGGAAUUGCAGGUGUAGCGGUGAAAUGCGUAGAUAUCUGCAGGAACACCCGUGGCGAAAGCGGCGCGCUGGACCACAACUGACGCUGAGGAACGAAAGCUA